CCUACGGGUGGCAGCAGUGGGGAAUAUUGGACAAUGGGCGAAAGCCUGAUCCAGCCAUGCCGCGUGUGUGAAGAAGGCCUUCGGGUUGUAAAGCACUUUCAGUGGGGAAGAAAGCCUUGGGGCUAAUACCCUCGAGGAAGGACAUCACCCACAGAAGAAGCACCGGCUAACUCCGUGCCAGCAGCCGCGGUAAUACGGAGGGUGCGAGCGUUAAUCGGAAUUACUGGGCGUAAAGCGCGCGUAGGCGGUCUGAUAAGCCGGUUGUGAAAGCCCCGGGCUCAACCUGGGAACGGCAUCCGGAACUGUCAGGCUAGAGUGCAGGAGAGGAAGGUAGAAUUCCCGGUGUAGCGGUGAAAUGCGUAGAGAUCGGGAGGAAUACCAGUGGCGAAGGCGGCCUUCUGGACUGACACUGACGCUGAGGUGCGAAAGCGUGGGUAGCAAACAGGAUUAGAUUACCCUAGUAGUC
RNAcentral lists this ribosomal RNA (466 nucleotides) under Vreelandella stevensii. RNAcentral describes it as "partial 16S ribosomal RNA". It matches the Rfam family "Bacterial small subunit ribosomal RNA", at positions 338 to 795 of the family's 1533-position model. Lineage: Bacteria; Pseudomonadati; Pseudomonadota; Gammaproteobacteria; Oceanospirillales; Halomonadaceae. The record is from RNAcentral.